GACGAACGCUGGCGGCGUGCCUAACACAUGCAAGUCGAGCGAUGAAGUUCUUCGGAACGGAUUAGCGGCGGACGGGUGAGUAACGCGUGAGCAAUCUGCCUUACACAAAGGGAUAGCCUCGGGAAACUGGGAUUAAUACCAUAUGACACUUGGUAAUCGCAUGAGGACCAAGUCAAAGAUUUUAUCGGUGUAAGAUGAGCUCGCGUCUGAUUAGCUAGUUGGUGGGUAAAGGCCUACCAAGGCGACGAUCAGUAGCCGGCCUGAGAGGGUGAACGGCCACACUGGAACUGAGACACGGUCCAGACUCCUACGGGAGGCAGCAGUGGGGAAUAUUGCACAAUGGGCGCAAGCCUGAUGCAGCGACGCCGCGUGAGCGAAGAAGGUUUUCGGAUCGUAAAAGCUCUGUCCUCUGGGAAGAAAAAAAAUAGGACGGUACCAGAGGAGGAAGCCCCGGCUAACUACGUGCCAGCAGCCGCGGUAAAAGUACUCUAAU
This 493-nucleotide ribosomal RNA is filed under the name uncultured bacterium. RNAcentral describes it as "bacterial SSU rRNA". It matches the Rfam family "Bacterial small subunit ribosomal RNA", at positions 28 to 531 of the family's 1533-position model. The record is from RNAcentral.